AGCCUUGCUCAGUGGCAGUAUUAUAGCCCGUGAGGUUUAUCUGAGGCAUGGUUAUUGCUAGUUGAAAACAUUUCCCAAUACCCCACUAUGAUGACUUGAAAGAUAGCUGGCAUUGGUAAUUUUUGGCAGUAAAUACAGAGACUGAAAAUUA
Small nuclear RNA from Otolemur garnettii (small-eared galago), 151 nucleotides. Its record names the gene U4. It matches the Rfam family "U4 spliceosomal RNA". From Rfam's summary of the family: U4 small nuclear RNA (U4 snRNA) is a component of the major U2-dependent spliceosome. The structure of U4 snRNA from yeast and human has been reported. U4 snRNA presents a k-turn RNA motif in the 5p-SL related to recognition of Snu13 protein. The record is from Ensembl. NCBI's taxonomy places the organism in Eukaryota, Metazoa, Chordata, Mammalia, Primates, Galagidae.